GGGCCCGCACAAGCGGUGGAGUAUGUGGUUUAAUUCGACGCAACGCGCAGAACCUUACCCAGGCUUGACAUCCUCGGAACCUGAUGGAAACAUCGGGGUGUCCCCUCACGGGGAAGCCGAGUGACAGGUGCUGCAUGGCUGUCGUCAGCUCGUGUCGUGAGAUGUUCGUUAAGUCCGGCAACGAGCGCAACCCCUGUCGUUAGUUGCCAUCAAUUCGGUUGGGCACUUUAAGGAAACUGCCGGUGAUAAGCCGGAGGAAGGUGGGGAUGACGUCAAGUCCUCAUGGCCCUUACAGGCUGGGCUACACACGUGCUACAAUGGCGAUGACAGUGGGCAGCGACCCCGCAAGGGUGAGCUAA
RNAcentral lists this ribosomal RNA (359 nucleotides) under uncultured bacterium. Its description in RNAcentral is "bacterial SSU rRNA". It matches the Rfam family "Bacterial small subunit ribosomal RNA", at positions 917 to 1271 of the family's 1533-position model. The record is from RNAcentral.